RNAcentral lists this transfer RNA (79 nucleotides) under Enterobacter hormaechei. RNAcentral's name for it is "tRNA-Lys(ttt)". It matches the Rfam family "tRNA". Rfam says of the family: Transfer RNA (tRNA) molecules are approximately 80 nucleotides in length. Their secondary structure includes four short double-helical elements and three loops (D, anti-codon, and T loops). Further hydrogen bonds mediate the characteristic L-shaped molecular structure. tRNAs have two regions of fundamental functional importance: the anti-codon, which is responsible for specific mRNA codon recognition, and the 3' end, to which the tRNAs corresponding amino acid is attached (by aminoacyl-tRNA synthetases). tRNAs cope with the degeneracy of the genetic code in two manners: having more than one tRNA (with a specific anti-codon) for a particular amino acid; and 'wobble' base-pairing, i.e. permitting non-standard base-pairing at the 3rd anti-codon position. The record is from RNAcentral. Lineage: Bacteria; Pseudomonadati; Pseudomonadota; Gammaproteobacteria; Enterobacterales; Enterobacteriaceae.
GGGUCGUUAGCUCAGUUNUUGGUAGAGCAGUUGACUUUUAAUCAAUUGGUCGCAGGUUCGAAUCCUGCACGACCCACCA